GAUCCAAAAAAGUGACUGAUAUGUCAACCCUUAAUAAUUUAGACAAAAUAUGAAAUAUCAUAACAGGAAAAUACCUCUUCUCUAUCAUAACUUCAUGUUCGUUUCCGUUUGGAUCACUCAAUGUUACAUAUGUAGAAAUUUAAUACCCAAACUCCCUUGUAAACAUUUAUGAACAAUUAAAUUUGUUACAUAUGUACGAAUAUAAAGCACAAUUAAAUAUUUAUGAACAUGUAGGACGUAUAUUAUGUUAAUUACUAAUGAAGUUAACUACGCCUAACAUAAUACGAUCAAGCAUAGAUUAAAAAGCAACUUAUUGAAG
Molecule: long non-coding RNA, 319 nt
Filed under: Medicago truncatula (barrel medic)
Lineage: Eukaryota; Viridiplantae; Streptophyta; Magnoliopsida; Fabales; Fabaceae
Description: long non-coding RNA (MTRU_LNC007295)
Source: RNAcentral